GAUGAACGCUAGCGGCAGGCUUAACACAUGCAAGUCGAAGGGCAGCGGGGAGAGUGCUUGCACUCUCCGCCGGCGACUGGCGCACGGGUGAGUAACACGUAUGCAACCUGCCCUCCACAGGGGGACAACCUCCCGAAAGGGAGGCUAAUCCCGCGUAAAUCGGGAGACCGCAUGGUCUCCUGAGGAAAGCUCCGGCGGUGGAGGAUGGGCAUGCGGCGCAUUAGCUAGUCGGUGGGGUAACGGCCCACCGAGGCGACGAUGCGUAGGGGUUCUGAGAGGAAGGUCCCCCACACUGGUACUGAGACACGGACCAGACUCCUACGGGAGGCAGCAGUGAGGAAUAUUGGUCAAUGGCCGAAGGGCUGAACCAGCCAAGCCGCGUGAAGGAAUAAGGCCCUACGGGUCGUAAACUUCUUUAGUCAGGGAACAAAGGGUGCCACGUGUGGCGCUGUGAGUGUACCUGAAGAAUAAGCAUCGGCUAACUCCGUGCCAGCAGCCGCGGUAAUACGGAGGAUGCGAGCGUUAUCCGGAUUUAUUGGGUUUAAAGGGUGCGUAGGCGGUUUGUCAAGUCAGCGGUAAAAAUUCCGGGCUCAACCCGGUCCCGCCGUUGAAACUGGCGAACUCGAGAGGGAGAGAAGUAGGCGGAAUGCGCAGUGUAGCGGUGAAAUGCAUAGAUAUUGCGCAGAACUCCGAUUGCGAAGGCAGCCUACCGGCUCCUAUCUGACGCUGAGGCACGAAAGCGUGGGUAUCGAACAGGAUUAGAUACCCUGGUAGUCCACGCAGUAAACGAUGAAUGCCGGCUGCCCGGGCCGAUUGAGGCCUGGGUGGCGAAGCGAAAGCGAUAAGCAUUCCACCUGGGGAGUACGCCGGCAACGGUGAAACUCAAAGGAAUUGACGGGGGCCCGCACAAGCGGAGGAACAUGUGGUUUAAUUCGAUGAUACGCGAGGAACCUUACCCGGGCUCAAACGGCGGAUGACAGGCGCAGAGACGCGCAUUUCUUCGGACAUCCGCCGAGGUGCUGCAUGGUUGUCGUCAGCUCGUGCCGUGAGGUGUCGGCUUAAGUGCCAUAACGAGCGCAACCCCUGCCGACAGUUGCUAACAGGUUAUGCUGAGGACUCUGUCGGGACUGCCGGCGCAAGCCGUGAGGAAGGCGGGGAUGACGUCAAAUCAGCACGGCCCUUACGUCCGGGGCGACACACGUGUUACAAUGGGUGGCACAGAGGGAAGCCAGGCGGCGACGCCGAGCGGAACCCGAAAUCCACUCUCAGUUCGGAUCGGAGUCUGCAACCCGACUCCGUGAAGCUGGAUUCGCUAGUAAUCGCGCAUCAGCCAUGGCGCGGUGAAUACGUUCCCGGGCCUUGUACACACCGCCCGUCAAGCCAUGGGAGCCGAGGGCGCUUGAAGUGCGUCGCCGCGAGGCGCGCCCUAGAGCGAAAUCGGUGACUGGGGCUAAGUCGUAACAAGGUAGCCGUACCGGAAGGUGCGGCUGGAACACCUCCUUUCUGGAGCAGUUCCCUUACAGCUGCUGUCGUCUUGUGCAAAACCAUAGGGAAACGAAGACUUGCGUCUCCGUUUCUCACUCAAAAGAGAACAUUGACAAGACUGGAAGCGAGUGAAUAGCGAUAUUCACAGCGAGAACGAGUAGAAACACAAACGAGUUUCACAAAACGAGCAAACCAAAGGCGAACUAAGUCGAACUUAGAGUUCGGUUAAAGAAUUAACGGAACGAGAAGGGCGCAUGGGGGAUGCCUAGGCUCUCGGAGGCGAAGAAGGACGUGACAAGCUGCGAAAAGCUGCGGCGAGGGGCAAAUACCCAUUGAUCCGCAGAUGUCCGAAUGGGGCAACCCGGCGGGAGCGAUCCCGUCACCGCGGGGUUCCGCGGGGCGAACGCGGGGAACUGAAACAUCUUAGUACCCGCAGGAAGAGAAAGUAACAACGAUUCCCCCAGUAGCGGCGAGCGAACGGGGAAGAGCCCAAACCGGCGGUGUCGCGAGGCAUGUGCCGGGGUUAUAGGACCGACAAUGAAGCGAGGAGGUUAUCGAGUGGAAGCGGAUGGAACGCCGCGCCAUAGAGGGUGAGAGCCCCGUACACGAAGAGAAGACCUUGCGAGUCGGCACCUGAGUAUGCCGGAACACGAGAAAUUCCGGUUGAAUUAUCGGGGACCAUCCCGAAAGGCUAAAUACUACCGAGAGACCGAUAGCGAACG
RNAcentral lists this ribosomal RNA (2207 nucleotides) under uncultured Muribaculum sp. RNAcentral's name for it is "partial contains 16S ribosomal RNA, 16S-23S ribosomal RNA intergenic spacer, and 23S ribosomal RNA". The stretch from base 1 to 1503 matches the Rfam family "Bacterial small subunit ribosomal RNA". The record is from RNAcentral. Lineage: Bacteria; Pseudomonadati; Bacteroidota; Bacteroidia; Bacteroidales; Muribaculaceae.